CCUACGGGAGGCAACAGUGGGGGAUAUUGCACAAUGGGGGAAACCCUGAUGCAGCGACGCCGCGUGGGUGAAGAAGUAUUUCGGUAUGUAAAGCCCUAUCAGCAGGGAAGAAAGAAGACGGUACCUGACUAAGAAGCCCCGGCUAACUACGUGCCAGCAGCCGCGGUAAUACGUAGGGGGCGAGCGUUAUCCGGAUUCACUGGGUGUAAAGGGAGCGUAGACGGCCGUGCAAGCCAGGAGUGAAAGCCCGGGGCCCAACCCCGGGACUGCUCUUGGAACUGUGCGGCUGGAGUGCGGGAGGGGCAGGCGGAAUUCCUGGUGUAGCGGUGAAAUGCGUAGAUAUCAGGAGGAACACCGGCGGCGAAGGCGGCCUGCUGGACCGCGACUGACGUUGAGGCUCGAAAGCGUGGGGAGCGAACAGGAUUAGAUACCCUUGUAGUC
This 441-nucleotide ribosomal RNA is filed under the name uncultured bacterium. RNAcentral's name for it is "partial 16S ribosomal RNA". It matches the Rfam family "Bacterial small subunit ribosomal RNA", at positions 338 to 795 of the family's 1533-position model. The record is from RNAcentral.